This 495-nucleotide ribosomal RNA is filed under the name uncultured bacterium. RNAcentral describes it as "bacterial SSU rRNA". It matches the Rfam family "Bacterial small subunit ribosomal RNA", at positions 903 to 1397 of the family's 1533-position model. The record is from RNAcentral.
AAAUGAAUAGACGGGGGCCCGCACAAGCGGAGGAACAUGUGGUUUAAUUCGAUGAUACGCGAGGAACCUUACCCGGGUUUGAAAUGCAUCUGACGAUAGUGGAAACAUUAUUUCUAGCAAUAGCAGAUGUGUAGGUGCUGCAUGGUUGUCGUCAGCUCGUGCCGUGAGGUGUCGGCUUAAGUGCCAUAACGAGCGCAACCCUUAUAGUUAGUUGCUAACAGGUCAAGCUGAGGACUCUAAUUAGACUGCCACCGUAAGGUGCGAGGAAGGUGGGGAUGACGUCAAAUCAGCACGGCCCUUAUGUCCGGGGCGACACACGUGUUACAAUGGAUGGGACAGCGGGUAGCUACCAGGCGACUGGAUGCCAAUCUCUGAAACCCAUUCUCAGUUCGGAUCGGAGUCUGUAACUCGACUCCGUGAAGCUGGAUUCGCUAGUAAUCGCGCAUCAGCCAUGGCGCGGUGAAUACGUUCCCGGGCCUUGUACACACCGCCCGU